RNAcentral lists this ribosomal RNA (449 nucleotides) under uncultured bacterium. RNAcentral's name for it is "partial 16S ribosomal RNA". It matches the Rfam family "Bacterial small subunit ribosomal RNA", at positions 29 to 523 of the family's 1533-position model. The record is from RNAcentral.
AACGAACGCUGGCGGCAGGCUUAACACAUGCAAGUCGAACGAGAUCUUCGGAUCUAGUGGCAGACGGGUGAGGAACACGUGGGAACAUCCCUUUCAGUUCGGAAUAACGUUGGGAAACUAACGCUAAUACCGGAUACGUCCUUCGGGAGAAGGAUUUAUCGCUGAAAGAUUGGCCCGCGUCUGAUUAGCUAGUUGGUGAGGUAAUGGCUCACCAAGGCUACAAUCAGUAGCUGAUCUGAGAGGAUGAUCAGCCACAUUGGGACUGAGACACGGCCCAAACUCCUACGGGAGGCAGCAGUGGGGAAUAUUGGACAAUGGGCGCAAGCCUGAUCCAGCCAUGCCGCGUGAGUGAUGACGGCCUUCGGGUUGUAAAGCUCUUUUGUCCGGGAAGAUAAUGACUGUACCGGAAGAAUAAGCCCCGGCAAACUUCGUGCCAGCCGCCGCAGUAA